This 468-nucleotide ribosomal RNA is filed under the name uncultured bacterium. Its description in RNAcentral is "partial 16S ribosomal RNA". It matches the Rfam family "Bacterial small subunit ribosomal RNA", at positions 28 to 507 of the family's 1533-position model. The record is from RNAcentral.
GACGAACGCUGGCGGCGUGCUUAACACAUGCAAGUCGAACGGAAAGGCCCUGCUUUUGUGGGGUGCUCGAGUGGCGAACGGGUGAGUAACACGUGAGUAACCUGCCCUUGACUUUGGGAUAACUUCAGGAAACUGGGGCUAAUACCGGAUAGGAGCUCCUGCUGCAUGGUGGGGGUUGGAAAGUUUCGGCGAUUGGGGAUGGACUCGCGGCUUAUCAGCUUGUUGGUGGGGUAGUGGCUUACCAAGGCUUUGACGGGUAGCCGGCCUGAGAGGGUGACCGGCCACAUUGGGACUGAGAUACGGCCCAGACUCCUACGGGAGGCAGCAGUGGGGAAUAUUGCACAAUGGGCGGAAGCCUGAUGCAGCAACGCCGCGUGCGGGAUGACGGCCUUCGGGUUGUAAACCGCUUUCGCCUGUGACGAAGCGUGAGUGACGGUAAUGGGUAAAGAAGCACCGGCUAACCACGUG